GGAUCAUUGUCGAGAUCGAACGGAAGAACGACCCGCGAAUCGUCAUUGCGUAGUAGACAGAGCCCGUGAGCACCUAACGCUCACGGGUCUCGCGUCGCGUCGGCGCGGGUGUACUCGAGACCCGCGUCGUACCGGCGGACAAACAACGUCAGCACGGAUCGUGCCAAGGAGCAGCAUGGAGAGAAUCGUCGUCCCCCGCCUUUGAUAGUCCUCGACGCGGGACGGGGGAUGUACGCAAUCUCUACUCAAAAGUCUAAACGACUCUCGGCAACGGAUAUCUCGGCUCUUGCAUCGAUGAAGAACGUAGCGAAAUGCGAUACUUGGUGUGAAUUGCAGAAUCCCGUGAACCAUCAAUUCUUUGAACGCAAGUUGCGCCCGAAGCCAUUCGGCCGAGGGCACGCCUGCCUGGGCGUCGUGAAUCCCCUUGCCCCUAGGCACCCGCAUGAGCAUUGGCGGGGACAUAUGCUCGGGCGCAGAAUAUGGUCUCCCGUGGGAUCGGCAUGCACGGCAUGUCGAGGUGCGGUUGGCCGAAAAUCGAGCAUGGCGGUGACGGGCACCACGGCGUUCGGUGGAUCGAAUGAGAUUGGCUGCGUCGUGGGCUCGGCAUGCGGCGGGCUCCGGACUUUGAAUAUCCCCGAGUGCGAUCCCAGGUCAGGCGGGGCUACCCGCUGAGUUUAAGCAUAUCAAUAAGCGGAGGAAAAGAAACUAACGAGGAUUCCCUUAGUAGCGGC
Molecule: ribosomal RNA, 731 nt
Filed under: Miconia conobracteata
Lineage: Eukaryota; Viridiplantae; Streptophyta; Magnoliopsida; Myrtales; Melastomataceae
Description: eukaryotic LSU rRNA
Rfam family: 5.8S ribosomal RNA (bases 260-415)
Source: RNAcentral